GUGCUCUUUCAGUAGCACAUAUCCUAAAAUUGGAAUGAUACAGAGAAGAUUAGCAUGGCCCCUGUGCAAGGAUGGCACAGAAAUUUGUGAAGUGUUUCAUAUUUUU
Molecule: small nuclear RNA, 106 nt
Filed under: Myotis brandtii (Brandt's bat)
Lineage: Eukaryota; Metazoa; Chordata; Mammalia; Chiroptera; Vespertilionidae
Source: RNAcentral